Long non-coding RNA from Trichechus manatus latirostris (Florida manatee), 438 nucleotides. RefSeq lists it as uncharacterized. The record is from RefSeq and is a predicted model, not a curated record. NCBI's taxonomy places the organism in Eukaryota, Metazoa, Chordata, Mammalia, Sirenia, Trichechidae. The transcript has 3 exons.
UUUUGUAAGGACUUCAACUGCAUUGACAAAAGAAACCGGUUUGUCUUCAGUUUGGCCCCUUGAGGCAAUGAGGAGUGAGAUGGUGUUGCCAAACAGAGCUGUGACUUGUGUGUGCAGCUUUUUUUCCUGCGAGAGGUAAACCUCACAUUUGGAAGGAGUAAAGCAUAAUAAAAAGGGCAAGCCUUCAAGAAUGGGGGAAACGUUUUCGAUUCAAAUUAAGCAAGGAAUAACACGCAGUGCUCCUAGGUCUAGGGGCCUGCCAGUGCCAAGAAAGCGCUCUCCUGGAUCAACACUUGGGGGCUUGGAAGAUACUGGGCAUGGUUUAAGAUGGUCUUAAUUCUUUUUAGAUAUUGAUAAGGUAGAACGUAUGGUAAUAAUAUCAACUUUUCCAAGAUAAGUUACAAGACUAAAAAAAAGAGUACAAAGAACACUUUCAUG